Molecule: ribosomal RNA, 444 nt
Filed under: uncultured Acidaminobacter sp.
Lineage: Bacteria; Bacillati; Bacillota; Clostridia; Peptostreptococcales; Acidaminobacteraceae
Description: bacterial SSU rRNA
Rfam family: Bacterial small subunit ribosomal RNA
Source: RNAcentral
UUCCUACGGGGGGCUGCAGUGGGGAAUAUUGCACAAUGGGCGCAAGCCUGAUGCAGCAACGCCGCGUGAGUGAAGAAGGCCUUCGGGUCGUAAAACUCUGUCCUAAGGGAAGAAGCAGUGACGGUACCUUAGGAGGAAGCCCCGGCUAACUACGUGCCAGCAGCCGCGGUAAUACGUAGGGGGCAAGCGUUAUCCGGAAUCACUGGGCGUAAAGGGUGCGUAGGCGGCUGAUCAAGCCAGGGGUGAAAGGCUGUGGCUUAACCAUGGUAAGCCUUUGGAACUGGUCAGCUUGAGUGCAGGAGAGGAAAGCGGAAUUCCUAGUGUAGCGGUGAAAUGCGUAGAUAUUAGGAGGAACACCCGUGGCGAAGGCGGCUUUCUGGACUGUAACUGACGCUGAUGCACGAAAGCGUGGGGAGCAAACAGGAUUAGAUACCCCUGUAGUCC